GAGAAAUAGAAACCAUAAAAAGUUCAGUUUGAAGACAUUUCAAGUGUUGUUUGUAUACUGAUGGUACAUGUAGUAGUUUUUUGUCAAUUUUUAAAAUGUUUUAAUGAAACCAAAAUGCCAUAUGUGUGCCUACAUAGUUGGUUUUUAGUACCUCAAAGUGAGAAUCUCUCAACCCUUGUCCGCAAAGUAAUUCCGGCGUUAUUCACUGGAGUCAUGGGCAUGAAUAAUAUCAGUUAAUUAUGUUUGUACGAGGGUAUGUGCAUAUGAAUCAGCCAGAAAGGCUUUGUGUGUGUGUGUGUGUGUAGGUAGUUGUAAUUUCAUAAAUAAAUUUGCACUUAACAAAUGAGCAACAUAAGCAAAAUGUUGCUAAGCGCAGCAGCAACAGGCGGUGGUAAAAUUGCAGUCGGAGGGGCAGGCAGAAAGGGGGAGGGGGGCGACAAUGGGUAGUGGGAAAACAACAAGGAAGUCCGUGAAACAAAGCCAAGCUCAAUGAAAAAACGGGGCAAUGGCAGCCGCCAGACAAGAGCAAACAACAACAACAACAACACCAACUACACACAUAGUAUAACAGCCUGCAGAACGACGGAAUUAAAUUUUAAUUUUAAUCGCCAAAAAAGAAUAAACAGAUGGAGGAACGAAGGAAAGAGAUGGACAGAAAUACAAGGAAGCGACUUAUUCCACACAAACCAUACAUUCCUACAUAUAUGUAUGUACAAUGAAUGUAUGUAUGUACACCCAUGAACAUACAUAAUGGGGAUCGGCGUGCAGACAAAUAAAUUUCCAAGCAGAAGGCGAGCGGCCGCUGUGCAGCCACUGAAAACUGAAAAUGCAAGCGCACAGCUGCGGCCAAGAUAAUAGGACACAAAUUAGGCUGACAAAUAAUGCAUAGUGUAAUGCUAACAAUUCGUAAGCUGCUAAGAUUUUUACUUGCUGUGUAAAUUUUUUUCGACAAUAAUUUUAUUAAAUUCAUGUGAAACUAUACUGCUACCCGCGCCUGUGCACGCAUCGUGGAAUUUAAUAAACACCGAUCCGAACAAAACAGAACAGAACAGACACGGCCAUAUGCAUGAAGGCUGUGUGGAUUUGUACAUAAAUCCCUGCGAGACGAUCGCCAGAGCCACAACAACUACAAACAACUUCCAAAACAACAACAACCAAGGAACCCGCAGAACAACAAUAAUAAUAA
This 1186-nucleotide small RNA is filed under the name Drosophila yakuba. RNAcentral's name for it is "GE28454". Lineage: Eukaryota; Metazoa; Arthropoda; Insecta; Diptera; Drosophilidae. The record is from RNAcentral.